AGGGAUGCCUUAGUAACGGCGAGUGAAGCGGCAAAAGCUCAAAUUUGAAAUCUGGCACCUUCGGUGUCCGAGUUGUAAUUUGAAGAAGGUAACUUUGGAGUUGGCUCUUGUCUAUGUUCCUUGGAACAGGACGUCACAGAGGGUGAGAAUCCCGUGCGAUGAGAUGCCCAAUUCUAUGUAAAGUGCUUUCGAAGAGUCGAGUUGUUUGGGAAUGCAGCUCUAAGUGGGUGGUAAAUUCCAUCUAAAGCUAAAUAUUGGCGAGAGACCGAUAGCGAACAAGUACAGUGAUGGAAAGAUGAAAAGAACUUUGAAAAGAGAGUGAAAAAGUACGUGAAAUUGUUGAAAGGGAAGGGCUUGAGAUCAGACUUGGUAUUUUGCGAUCCUUUCCUUCUUGGUUGGGUUCCUCGCAGCUUACUGGGCCAGCAUCGGUUUGGAUGGUAGGAUAAUGACUAAGGAAUGUGGCUCUACUUCGGUGGAGUGUUAUAGCCUUGGUUGAUACUGCCUGUCUAGACCGAGGACUGCGUCUUUUGACUAGGAUGUUGGCAUAAU
Molecule: ribosomal RNA, 549 nt
Filed under: Debaryomyces hansenii
Lineage: Eukaryota; Fungi; Ascomycota; Pichiomycetes; Serinales; Debaryomycetaceae
Description: eukaryotic LSU rRNA
Rfam family: Eukaryotic large subunit ribosomal RNA
Source: RNAcentral